Molecule: RNA transcript, 2075 nt
Organism: Varroa destructor (honeybee mite)
Lineage: Eukaryota; Metazoa; Arthropoda; Arachnida; Mesostigmata; Varroidae
Source: RefSeq, a predicted model, not a curated record
UGGAGGGAGUGGCACCAUAAAGUCGGCGCUUGCCGAUAAUCCACAAAAAAAGCAGUUCCUUGUAUAGACUCGAUCCGUAAUUUCCAUCCCUUCUACGUAGACCGUCUACCUAAAAGAAAAAGCGCAAAAAACUAAACCUGUACAGUGGUCGUUGAGCAAUGGUCGAAUUGGCGUAUACGGUUUGGGUUGCUUUGGCAUAUACAAUAUAACGCUACCAAAUUAAUAAUUGCUCUUAUUUGUCUGUUCUAGUACAGGAGUUUUCGGAACCGUCAAAGGCUGAUGUGUGCGACGAAGCGGAAGGCGAUUGGUGUUGUAUGAUGAGUAGUGCAGGGUUACCGUCCUCUACCAGCGAAACCGUUGCUAUCACGCUUGAUGAUUAUACCUCUCAGGACUUGGCCGCGCGUCUGGCAUGAUCGGGGCCGACUUCGAGCAAAUCACGUUGACGUUCAGCUUCGCUAGGUGACAAGGAUCGACUGAAGUGUAAGAUGGCGACGUUGAAGCUUCACUAUAAGCUUACGACUGUUUGGCUACCACUGGAUUCAAGUACUAACGCACUAAGACAUCGAACUACUAGAAGGUUUUCAGGGGUGUCUUGCUAUCUUCGUCGGCCCAUUCCAGACGCAGUUUUACGGACUAAAAUUUUAAGUGUACGUAUAAAUAUUAUAGACCAAUCUCAUUCUUUUUGUUCUAGCCAGACAUCGAGGGGAAAUAUCUAGAUGGCGAAUUUAUUCAGUAGACGAGUCAAAUAACGGCGUUUGGUAGGGGGCUCGUUGAAAACAUUCGUGGCUCAUAAAUUCCCUUUCUGCAAAGGCUAAUCCACCUCAUUUCUCGCAAGAGUCGUUGCCAUGACAACGCCAGUGCAACGGGCUGCCCCACACUCAGCAAUGGCUAGAAGAGGCCAUAGUCUCUGUGCGUUAGCAUCCUGCGGUAAUGAUUUGUCUGUGUUCAACGUUGCCGUUCGUAUCACCAUUUACAGCUGACAUUUAUACGUCUUUUAUACGUCCGCUUAUAUAGGUUCGCACGUUUGUAUCUAUGUUUGAGUUCUGUUAUUAAAUGAACAGCGCUGGUUUACCGUGAGACUUGACGCGAGUAAUUAAGAAAUGAGCAGUGAAUGUAGGGUUCGCUGGAACCGCCUGAGCCUUUAAGCUGCGCACUGUUUUCCAUAUGUAUACGUCUUGAAUAUCUUAUUUUGCUACUAUCCGGUUCUACCAUUGAUCUUGUCUUUGUUUACAGUUAGUUGAUAGGGAUUGAUAGAUGUAGUCACGUCAGAAGAUGUUUUGGUGGAGACUAUCCGAAAUGGCAUGGAGCCAGCACUUCUUAUCUUCAUAAAUAAAUACACUAGCGAAGAUAUGCAUGCAUUUGUAUAUCGUGCAGAUUUAUAGUUCGUCUAUCAGCCACUACGUUGUAAUAAGUAAUAGUGUUUAUAGUUGUGAUUUAAAAAAUUCGAUUUUGUGCGCUACGCCUUUAAUUUACGUUCGCAAUAAACAUCUAGGCUCUCCCGAUCGGUACGGAAGAGCUUUUCCGAGAAACAUAUAUACGCGUGUAUAUUAUAUAACCAGCAAGCAUCAUAUAUAAAUUCAGGCAAUGAAUAACUUGAAAUAUAUGUAGUUAUCUUGCCUUUCAUUGUAUUUAGACCAACCGGAAACUCAAAAGCAUAUCUCACAAGUCUUUGUCGUGACGAGAAUUUAUUCGAAAUUUCAAAUAUAUCACCACAAAUUGCCGUAGCACCUUAUAGCUUGCGUUUUCCUUGCAGAAGAUCCUUAGUUGGUUACUAGGAUAAAAUGGCCAUAUAUUAGCUUUCCUUACGUAAAGUAGUCGUUCAUCCUUAAGAAGAUUUUGUCGUCCGAUGUAAGGUACAGGUUGCUUAUAACAAGGGUCUGAGUAAGCGCGUACACACACAGACACAUACAUAUGUACAUAUAUGCGAACACGAAUUCAAGAGUUUAAAGCCUGGGAGGUUUGUGCCUUGUUUCGACGGUCAGCGAAUUGCGAUUUUAGUGGGACUAUGCAAUGUAGGCUGGUAUCAGCUUUGCAAAAACUAGUCUCAGUUUUAAGCCUACUGUUUUCGAAUAGAA